Molecule: transfer RNA, 82 nt
Filed under: Dreissena polymorpha
Lineage: Eukaryota; Metazoa; Mollusca; Bivalvia; Myida; Dreissenidae
Rfam family: tRNA
About the family: Transfer RNA (tRNA) molecules are approximately 80 nucleotides in length. Their secondary structure includes four short double-helical elements and three loops (D, anti-codon, and T loops).
Source: Rfam by way of RNAcentral
CUUGUCGUGGCCGAGUGGUUAAGGCGAUGGACUAGUAAUCUUUUGGGAUCUUCCCGCGCAGGUUCGAAUCCUGCCGACAUCG